This 1480-nucleotide ribosomal RNA is filed under the name metagenome. Its description in RNAcentral is "bacterial SSU rRNA". It matches the Rfam family "Bacterial small subunit ribosomal RNA". The record is from RNAcentral.
AGAGUUUGAUCCUGGCUCAGGACGAACGCUGGCGGCGUGCCUAACACAUGCAAGUCGAGCGGAGACAGUGAGUAGCUUGCUAUGAGCUGUUUUAGCGGCGGACGGGUGAGUAACGCGUGAGCAACCUUUCCCAGACAGGGGAAUAACACACCGAAAGGUGUACUAAUACCGCACAAGACCACGGGAUCACAUGGUUCUGAGGUAAAAGAAUUAUCGGUUUGGGGUGGGCUCGCGUCCGAUUAGGUAGUUGGUGAGGUAACGGCCCACCAAGCCGACGAUCGGUAGCCGACCUGAGAGGGUGAUCGGCCACAUUGGGACUGAGACACGGCCCAAACUCCUACGGGGGGCAGCAGUGGGAAUAUUGGGCAAUGGGGGAAACCCUGACCCAGCAACGCCGCGUGGAGGAAGAAGGUUUUCGGAUCGUAAACUCCUGUCCUUGGAGACGAGUAGAAGACGGUAUCCAAGGAGGAAGCCCCGGCUAACUACGUGCCAGCAGCCGCGGUAAUACGUAGGGGGCAAGCGUUGUCCGGAAUAAUUGGGCGUAAAGGGCGCGUAGGCGGCUCGGUAAGUCUGGAGUGAAAGUCCUGCUUUUAAGGUGGGAAUUGCUUUGGAUACUGUCGGGCUUGAGUGCAGGAGAGGUUAGUGGAAUUCCCAGUGUAGCAGUGAAAUGCGUAGAGAUUGGGAGGAACACCAGUGGCGAAGGCGACUAACUGGACUGUAACUGACGCUGAGGCGCGAAAGUGUGGGGAGCAAACAGGAUUAGAUACCCUGGUAGUCCACACUGUAAACGAUGAAUGCUAGGUGUAGGGGGUAUCGACCCCUUCUGUGCCGCAGUCAACACAAUAAGCAUUCCGCCUGGGGAGUACGGCCGCAAGGUUGAAACUCAAAGGAAUUGACGGGGGCCCGCACAAGCAGCGGAGCAUGUGGUUUAAUUCGACGCAACGCGAAGAACCUUACCAGGUCUUGACAUCCACUUAAACUUACAGAGAUGUAAGGUGUGCUUGCGCAAAGUGAGACAGGUGGUGCAUGGUUGCCGUCAGCUCGUGUCGUGAGAUGUUGGGUUAAGUCCCGCAACGAGCGCAACCCUUAUCUUCAGUUACUAACGCGUAAAGGUGAGGACUCUGAAGAGACUGCCGGGGACAACUCGGAGGAAGGUGGGGACGACGUCAAAUCAUCAUGCCCCUUAUGACCUGGGCUACACACGUGCUACAAUGGCCACGACAGAGAGAAGCGAAAUCGCAAGGUAGAGCGGAACUCAAAAAAGUGGUCCCAGUUCGGAUUGUGGGCUGCAACCCGCCCACAUGAAGUCGGAGUUGCUAGUAAUCGCGGAUCAGCAUGCCGCGGUAAAUACGUUCCCGGGCCUUGUACACACCGCCCGUCACACCAUGGGAGUUGGGAGUGCCCAAAGCCGGUGAGGCAACCGCAAGGAGCCAGCCGUCUAAGGCAAGACCAAUGACUGGGGUGAAGUCGGAACAAGGUA